Molecule: ribosomal RNA, 274 nt
Filed under: uncultured bacterium
Lineage: Bacteria
Description: partial 16S ribosomal RNA
Rfam family: Bacterial small subunit ribosomal RNA
Source: RNAcentral
AUACGGAGGGGGCUAGCGUUGUUCGGAAUUACUGGGCGUAAAGGGUCCGUAGGCGGUUUGUUAAGUCUCCUGUGAAAGUUCAGGGCUCAACCCUGAAAGGUCGGGGGAUACUGGCAAACUCGAGACUGUCAGAGGCAAGUGGAAUUCCCGGUGUAGUGGUGAAAUGCGUAGAUAUCGGGAGGAACACCAGUGGCGAAAGCGGCUUGCUGGGACAGUUCUGACGCUGAGGGACGAAAGCGUGGGUAGCAAACCGGAUUAGAAACCCCAGUAGUCC